GGAGGAAAGUAGGGGAUCGCAAGACCUUGCGCUUUUUGAGCGGCCGAUGCCUGAUUAGCUAGUUGGUAAGGUAAUGGCUUACCAAGGCAACGAUCAGUAGCUGGUCUGAGAGGACGACCAGCCACACUGGGACUGAGACACGGCCCAGACUCCUACGGGAGGCAGCAGUGGGGAAUUUUGGACAAUGGGCGAAAGCCUGAUCCAGCCAUGCCGCGUGAGUGAAGAAGGCCUUCGGGUUGUAAAGCUCUUUCGGUCGGGAAGAAAUAGUUGUGGCUAAUAUCCACAAUGAAUGACGGUACCGACAUAAGAAGCACCGGCUAACUACGUGCCAGCAGCCGCGGUAAUACGUAGGGUGCAAGCGUUAAUCGGAAUUAUUGGGCGUAAAGGGUGCGCAGGCGGUUGUAUAAGUCAGAUGUGAAGUCCCUGGGCUUAACCUAGGAAUUGCGUUUGAAACUACAAAGCUAG
Molecule: ribosomal RNA, 465 nt
Filed under: uncultured ammonia-oxidizing bacterium
Lineage: Bacteria
Description: bacterial SSU rRNA
Rfam family: Bacterial small subunit ribosomal RNA
Source: RNAcentral